GUCGAGAAUAAUUCACAAUGGACGAAAGUCUGAUGGUGCAACGCCGCGUGGAGGAUGACGGUCUUCGGAUUGUAAACUCCUGUCAUCCGGGAGUAAGACCUGGCUGUGAAUAGCAGACAGGGUUGAUAGUACCGGAAGAGGAAGGGACGGCUAACUUCGUGCCAGCAGCCGCGGUAAUAUGAAGGUCCCGAGCGUUGUUCGGAAUCACUGGGCGUAAAGGGAGCGUAGGCGGCGUGGUAAGUCAGAUGUGAAAUCCCGGGGCUCAACCCCGGAACUGCAUCCGAUACUGCCGUGCUAGAGGAUUGGAGAGGUAGCUGGAAUUCUUGGUGUAGCAGUGAAAUGCGUGGAGAUCAAGAGGAACACUCGUGGCGAAAGCGAGCUACUGGACAAUAUCUGACGCUGAGGCUCGAAGGCCAGGGUAGCGAAAGGGAUUAGAAACCCUAGUAGUCC
RNAcentral lists this ribosomal RNA (450 nucleotides) under uncultured bacterium. RNAcentral describes it as "partial 16S ribosomal RNA". It matches the Rfam family "Bacterial small subunit ribosomal RNA", at positions 354 to 796 of the family's 1533-position model. The record is from RNAcentral.